Molecule: ribosomal RNA, 235 nt
Filed under: uncultured bacterium
Lineage: Bacteria
Description: partial 16S ribosomal RNA
Rfam family: Bacterial small subunit ribosomal RNA
Source: RNAcentral
CAGUGGCGCACGGGUGAGUAACACGUGAAUUACAUGCCCUUCAGAGGGGGAUAGCCCAGGGAAACUUGGAUUAAUACCCCAUGGUAUCGCAAGAUUAAAGGUGGCCGCAAGGCUGUCGCCGAAGGAUUGGUUCGCGCCCUAUCAGCUUGUUGGCGGGGUAACGGCCCACCAAGGCUACGACGGGUACCUGGUUUGAGAGGACGAUCAGGCACACUGGAACUGAGACACGGUCCAG